This 2748-nucleotide long non-coding RNA is filed under the name Gallus gallus (chicken). RNAcentral describes it as "lncRNA (ENSGALG00010007206.1)". The record is from RNAcentral. Lineage: Eukaryota; Metazoa; Chordata; Aves; Galliformes; Phasianidae.
GUGAGCACAUCUUUUAUUAAAUUUCCUUCUCUUUCUCUCCUUCUUUGUAGUGGAAUUAUUAUGACUCCAUUAGAGCAGUGAUUUCCACCUCCAGCCAUGACUCGACAGCUUUAGUAAUAGGUAACAAUUCUGCUAAUCUUUAAAAGCAGCAGGACCUUUGCUCAAGAUAACGUGCAUCCAAUCUACCCUCCCUGUUUCCAGGCCUGCAGCCAUUCCGUGCUGCUGCGGCUCCACCAGCAGCAGUGGCAGUAGCCUGAAGUCUGAAAGUGUCCUUUGAUGGUGGAAGCAGAAGCAGCAUUCACUUUGUCGUGUUCUUUUUUUUCUUUUUCUUUUUCUUUUUUUUGCUGUUUGAAGGAUUCCACACAGUACGAGCACAGCUGGGUUCUCUACAAGGGAGAAGGGGAUUUUAGAAACACAUCGAGGCUGAGUUGAGAGGGCAUUAGCACUGUUGUACCGGACUGGUUUACUGACUGCUCUGGCCAAUGCUGGCAGCUAACCCAGCUAAAAGGGUUGUGAGGAACCUGUGCUGCUGUGUGCCCUGCUCCUGUCAGCCAGACCUGCAUCCUCGGCCGUUCUCCAGCCACUUUAUUUCCUCCUGACUGCACGCUGGCACUGGAAACUUGGAGAAAUCACAGAAAUGUAGGAGUUUUUUUUUUUCUCAAACUGCCAACUGGUUCUUUUUAUCUCACUGGAAAUCAUGCAAGACAAAGAUCUCAGACUGAUGAAUAACUGUAUGAUUUGUUCGCAUGUGGGUGACGUCGGGAACAGCGUGAAUCAAACAGUUUUCUAAAUGAUUUAGAUGCGUACAUCCAGGCUGGGGCUGAGGAACCAGAGAAUUCCUCUCAUAACCAAUCUGCAAGAACAAAACUUGCACGUUCAGUUUGCUUUCUUUCCAGUUCCUGGGGCCGUGGUGCAGGCACAGCUCUUGUUAGUGAAAGCCCGAAGUGCUCAGCAGCUCCAUGGCCCCAUUUCUGCAAAGCAGAAGCAGCUGCUAAACACUGAGCUCGGUGGGAGACAUGCAAAUGUGCUCCCUUGCUUUGAUAGAUUGAAGUCACAGGAAGGCUUCUAAAAUCUCCUUUGCUCUCGGGAAGUCAAUAGCAGAGCUCCUAUUGAUUUCAAUGAGAAGAAAACCCUUCAGAGGGAAAGUAAAUGACUACGGUUCACCUCUACAGAGAUCAGCGCUCUCACAGGUGGGAUUUUGAAAUAGGAGAGCAACGACUGAAGCUCACCAAUGCCCCUGGAGAGGCGCUACUGCUGAAGCAUGCAGCAAAAAGCUCAGUCUUUCAGGCUGGUGACAGGAGGCUGAGAUGGACACAGAGUCACAACAACAGGGAUGCUUUAGAGGCAGCACUGCAUGAGCCUUGUCCCAGAGCCAGAUGCACCCGGUGGGAGUUCACACUGCAGGGAGACAUGCUUUUCUGUAGGAUGGUCCUCCCCUGAGACACCCCUGAAGGAUUAGUCAGACUCGCAUGCCUCAGGAGUAAAUGGGUACUGCAAAUACUGGAAGAAGAACAAAAAUAAAGCUGAGCAGAGCUGCAGCACAGGCCCAGGGAGCUGCCUGCAUGGCUGAGUGGGCCCAGGCUGUCCAUGAGGAGCCCUGCCUGGUGGGAAGGGAGCAGCUGGGAAGGGUCUGCCUGCAGCGUUCCUCAUGUUCAUCCCCUGCUCACCUGCAGAGCCCAGGGCUGUAGGGAGGUCCCUGCCCCUCGCUGCAACACCAGGGACAACCUGCCCUGCCUCUCACAAGGACAAGAGAAAAGGACAAGAGAAAAUGCCUGCAGCUGUCUUGCUCAUGGUGGGGUCCUGCAACAAUCCCAAGUAGCUACAUCACAGACAACACACCCAUGCUGUUUGUACAGCAGCAUCUCACAGAGCUCAGAGCCUGCUGCACUGAGUACAGACACAAGUGAUGCAUUGGAACAGGCUGCCCAGGGAGGUGGUGGGGUCAGCAUUCCUGGAGGUGCUCAGGGAAAGGGCAGAGGUGGUACUGAAUGAUGUGGUCUGGAAUGGGCACAGGCAUAGGUUAACAGCAAGACUGAAGGGUCGCAUAGAACUGUUGAGGCCGGACUAAUCAAUCAAUAAGUACAUGAACAAAAAAUGCUGUAGGUGCCAACAGGAAGAAUUAGUUCAGAACAGAAAAUAAUUUCCACAUCAUCCAUCUGAGGAGAAGGGGCCACAUCUGAAUGUUUGAACUGUGUGUAAACACUACAGCUAUGGCUGGAGAAGUAUGUUGAUAAAUCGCAUCUAUCCUGAGCAGGCCUGAGUGGUCUUUAGGCAGAGCAGGGCUGUUCAGUGGGACAGGAGAAUCAAUAUGGACUUUGUAAGUAGAAAGACUGCACAUAAGCAAGAUGAUUUACUUGCACAAAAUGCUAUUGUUUUAAAUGAAGCUCUGAACUCAGUAUUUUGAUAUCCAUAAAGAAUAAAACAGAAGUAAUUUUACCACCACAGGAAUGCACUGUUUUGGACUCAAAACCAACAAUGGUUCCCAGGCUUCCCUUCUGAGCCCCAGGAGGUACCAGCAGGCAUCUUCCCCACGAGAGGGGUUGUCAUCAUAAAGCAUUCAUUUGCUGAAAACAAAUAUAUUGGCUUCAACAAACUGGAAAAUGUUGGGAAUGGGACUGAAUCUGAGAGAAAAAGCUUAUAAUGAGCUUCUGGCCAUUCUGGGAUGCUUCUCCAGCCUGCUUUCUUUCUAAAAGAAAAUGAAAAUACAGAUCAUUUUAUCUAAACUUGGAAAUAAAAACUGGAAGCCUA